AUUGAACGCUGGCGGCAGGCCUAACACAUGCAAGUCGAGCGGAUGAAGGGAGCUUGCUCCUGGAUUCAGCUGCGGACGGGUGAGUAAUGCCUAGGAAUCUGCCUUGUAUUUGGGGAUAACGUCCGUAAACGGGCGCUAAUACCGCAUACGUCCUGAUGUAGAAAGUGGGGGAUCUUCGGACCUCACGCUAUCAGCUGAGCCUAGUUCGGAUUAGCUAGUUGGUUGGGUAAAGGCCUACGAAGGCGACGAUCCGUAACUGGUCUGAGAGGAUGAUCAGUCAAACUGGACCUGGAACACGGUCAGAACUCCUACGGGAGGAAGAAGUGGGGAAUAUUGGACAAUGGGCGAAAGCCUAAUCCAGCACUGCCGCGUGUGUGAAGAAGGUCUUCGGAUUGUAAAGCCAUUUAAGUUGGGAGGAAGGGCGGUAAGUUAAUAACUUGCUGUUUUGACGUUACCAACAGAAUAAGCACCGGCUAACUUCGU
RNAcentral lists this ribosomal RNA (483 nucleotides) under uncultured bacterium. RNAcentral describes it as "partial 16S ribosomal RNA". It matches the Rfam family "Bacterial small subunit ribosomal RNA", at positions 30 to 506 of the family's 1533-position model. The record is from RNAcentral.